UGUGGAAUUUCUGGGUUAUAUGGUAACUCUAUAUUUAACAUUUUGAGGAAUGCCAAACUAUUUUUCAAAGCUGCUGGACCAUUUUACAUUCCCACCAGCAU
RNAcentral lists this microRNA precursor (101 nucleotides) under Marmota monax (woodchuck). Lineage: Eukaryota; Metazoa; Chordata; Mammalia; Rodentia; Sciuridae. The record is from RNAcentral.